AGUGAACGCUGGCGGUAGGCCUAACACAUGCAAGUCGAACGGCAGCACAGUAAGAGCUUGCUCUUACGGGUGGCGAGUGGCGGACGGGUGAGGAAUACAUCGGAAUCUACUUUUUCGUGGGGGUUAACGUAGGGAAACUUACGCUCAUACCGCAUACGACCUACGGGUGAAAGCAGGGGAUCUUCGGACCUUGCGCGAUUGAAUGAGCCGAUGUCGGAUUAGCUAGUUGGCGGGGUAAAGGCCCACCAAGGCGACGAUCCGUAGCUGGUCUGAGAGGAUGAUCAGCCACACUGGAACGGAGACACGGUCCAGACUCCUACGGGAGGCAGCAGUGGGGAAUAUUGGACAAUGGGCGCAAGCCUGAUCCAGCCAUACCGCGUGGGUGAAGAAGGCCUUCGGGUUGUAAAGCCCUUUUGUUGGGAAAGAAAAGCAGCAGGUUAAUACCCCGCUGUUCUGACGGUACCCAAAGAAUAAGCACCGGCUAACUUCGUG
Molecule: ribosomal RNA, 492 nt
Filed under: uncultured bacterium
Lineage: Bacteria
Description: partial 16S ribosomal RNA
Rfam family: Bacterial small subunit ribosomal RNA
Source: RNAcentral